AAAGGAGAGAACCCUUCCAAACUCAUUCUACGAGGCUAAUAUUACCUUGAUACCAAAACCAGACAAAGACACAUCAAGGAAAGAAAACUUCAGACCAACCUGAUGAACAUAAAAGCAACAAUUCUCAAUAAAAUUCUGGCAAGUCACAUACAAAAACAUAUUAAAAAGAUAGUGCACCACAAUCAAGUGGGAUUUAUCCCAGAGAUGCAGGGUUGGUUCAACAUAUGGAAAUCAAUAAACAUAAUUCAUCAUAUUGAUAGACUUAAAAACAAGAAUCAUAAGAUCAUGUCAAUUGAUAACAGAAAAAGCAUUUGACAAAAUACAGAACACCUUCAUGUUUGAAACACUAGAAAAACUAGAGACAGUAGGAACAUACCUCAACUUGUAAAAGCUAUGUAUGCUAAAUCCAAGGCCAGUAUCAUUCUAAAUGGAGAAAAAUUGAAAGCAUUCCCUCUAAAAACUGGAACAAGACAAGGAUGUACUCUUUCACCCCUUCUAUUCAACAUCAUCUUUGAAACUCUAGCCAGAGAAAUUAGACCAAAAUAAAAAAGAAGAACUCAAACUAUCACUAUUUGCUGAUGACAUGAUUCUGUAUCUAAAAGAUCCAAAAAAUUCAACCAGAAAACUUCUAGAGCUAAUAAGUGAAUUCAGCAAAGUAGCAGGAUAUAAAAUCAACACCCAUAAAUCAAAUUCAUUCCUAUACAUCAGUGAUGAAUUCACUGAAAGAGAAAUUAGAAAAACCACCUCACUCACAAUAGCCUCAAAAAAAAAAAAAACUUGGAAAUCAAUCUAACAAAAGAGGUGAAAUACCCCUACAAUUAAAACUACAGAACACUAAAGAAAGAAAUUGAAGAAAACCACAGAAGAUGGACUGAUCUCCCAUGCUCCUGGAUAGGUAGAAUUACUGUUAUCAAAAUGGCUAUACUACCAAAAGCGUUAUACAGAUUUAAUGCAACUCUUACUAAAAUUCCAAUUACAUUCUUCAUAGAAAUAGAAAAAG
This 1000-nucleotide long non-coding RNA is filed under the name Marmota monax (woodchuck). Lineage: Eukaryota; Metazoa; Chordata; Mammalia; Rodentia; Sciuridae. The record is from RNAcentral.